RNAcentral lists this ribosomal RNA (426 nucleotides) under uncultured Paenibacillus sp. Its description in RNAcentral is "bacterial SSU rRNA". It matches the Rfam family "Bacterial small subunit ribosomal RNA", at positions 355 to 774 of the family's 1533-position model. The record is from RNAcentral. Lineage: Bacteria; Bacillati; Bacillota; Bacilli; Caryophanales; Paenibacillaceae.
UAGGGAAUCUUCCGCAAUGGACGAAAGUCUGACGGAGCAACGCCGCGUGAGUGAGGAAGGUCUUCGGAUCGUAAAGCUCUGUUGCCAGGGAAGAAUAAGCACGGGAGCAACUGCCCGUGUGAUGACGGUACCUGAGAAGAAAGCCCCGGCUAACUACGUGCCAGCAGCCGCGGUAAUACGUAGGGGGCAAGCGUUGUCCGGAAUUAUUGGGCGUAAAGCGCGCGCAGGCGGUUGUUUAAGUCGGGUGUAUAAACCCAGGGCUCAACUCUGGGACGCAUCGGAAACUGGGCGACUGGAGUGCAGAAGAGGAGAGUGGAAUUCCACGUGUAGCGGUGAAAUGCGUAGAGAUGUGGAGGAACACCAGUGGCGAAGGCGACUCUCUGGUCUGUCACUGACGCUGAGGCGCGAAAGCGUGGGGAGCAAACA